This 701-nucleotide long non-coding RNA is filed under the name Trifolium pratense (red clover). RNAcentral's name for it is "long non-coding RNA (TPRA_LNC009547)". The record is from RNAcentral. Lineage: Eukaryota; Viridiplantae; Streptophyta; Magnoliopsida; Fabales; Fabaceae.
UCUAGUUGAAUUUUAAUCACCAAUCAAGAUUUAAUUCAGUUUCCUCGGUGAUUCCUUCCCAUUCUCCAGUUGAGGUUUGUCAAAUAGUGAUUUCUCUAGAUUCUUCUUAUCUAUCAUGUCCCUUCGAAUCCGAUUCAGAUUACUUACAGAGAAAAAGAAAGUACAUGAAAGAUCAGAAAAAGAAUGUGAUUUCGAUCGAUUUUCCUGUUUCCCCGUCAAUUCUGUCUCAUUCUACAAUUGCGGUUUUUCAAAUCGUGGUUUCUCUUAGCUUCUUUUUUAAUUGAAUUUCACAGUUUUGUGUAUUUGAAUGUCUCAUUUUACAUAAGGUUAUUUAAGAUCGUCAAUUCUGUCUCUCUUUUAGGAUAAAAUUUGGGAGUGAAAGGUUUGAGUUCUGCAAUGAGCCUAGUGUUCACUAGCUUUUUCAAUUGCCAAUUGAAAAUGAUGGGUCAACAGUUUCUUCGAUGCAAAACUUCUUUGUGAAAAGGUAUAUAUCUUUUAUUCUAUUCAUGGCACGUACAUUAAACAUGAUAGUGUUUUGUGAUAUAAAUGUUCACUUGAUUUAAAUUAAUGAAUUUAUUUUAUGCUAUUGAUGUCUUGUGAAGUGUUGGCUUGAGUAGUGCUAGCAACACACUCUAAUAAAAUUGCAUUUUCCUCGGUUCUGUCACGAUAUUGAUGAAUUUUUUCUAAGCAUUUCUUUUUUG